UGGUGGGUAGUUUGACUGGGGCGGUCUCCUCCUAAAGAGUAACGGAGGAGCACGAAGGUUGGCUAAUCCUGGUCGGACAUCAGGAGGUUAGUGCAAUGGCAUAAGCCAGCUUGACUGCGAGCGUGACGGCGCGAGCAGGUGCGAAAGCAGGUCAUAGUGAUCCGGUGGUUCUGAAUGGAAGGGCCAUCGCUCAACGGAUAAAAGGUACUCCGGGGAUAACAGGCUGAUACCGCCCAAGAGUUCAUAUCGACGGCGGUGUUUGGCACCUCGAUGUCGGCUCAUCACAUCCUGGGGCUGAAGUAGGUCCCAAGGGUAUGGCUGUUCGCCAUUUAAAGUGGUACGCGAGCUGGGUUUAGAACGUCGUGAGACAGUUCGGUCCCUAUCUGCCGUGGGCGCUGGAGAAUUGAGGGGGG
This 413-nucleotide ribosomal RNA is filed under the name Escherichia coli. RNAcentral describes it as "partial 23S ribosomal RNA". It matches the Rfam family "Bacterial large subunit ribosomal RNA", at positions 2259 to 2671 of the family's 2925-position model. The record is from RNAcentral. Lineage: Bacteria; Pseudomonadati; Pseudomonadota; Gammaproteobacteria; Enterobacterales; Enterobacteriaceae.